AUGGAAAUUUCACAUUUUCUAUUUUCAUAGUUCUUUGUAGUUUAGACUAGACAACAUAAUUACCUACACGUUUAUCCAAAAUUAAUUUUUCUCCUAUGAAUUUAGUCUUAAUUGAUUGGUUUAUAUUGUAGAACAGGGAUAUUGUUAUUAGAUUUUGCAAAAUUUGGAUUUGAGUUUGUUUGACAUGUGAUUUGAAUGGUACAGUGGUCUAAUCUUGGAAAUGAUCUGUGAUAAUCAUAUUGAUUAAACGGUGCCAUCUAUCGGGUCUUGUUAAAGCUUAAAUUUGCAAGUUUCCAAUUUUUUGGUGAUUUGCUCUUUCUUAUUUUGUUUGGAUUAUUUUGAAGGAUUACGUAAUUUGCAUUGUUCAGUAUGCAAUAUUUUAGAAUGAUAUUUUUGUUAUUUAAACUGCCCAUUUGUUCAUUAGUUCUGCCAAAAAUAAGUUCUUAUUGGAGAUGUGAUAAACAAAUAAUUUUUGAGCAAUACUAAUUAAAUUGUCCAUAUCUUUGUUAGCUAACAAAAUGCUGUUAACCUACUCUAUAAAAGUCAUCUAAUAAUUGCUGGCUUAAGAGUUUCCACAUGCGUCGAAUGAGAACUCUUUUAUAUAGCUAUGGUGCAGCUAAUUUGGUUUUUGGAUUCAAUUUCCAUGAAAAUUAGAGUUCAAAUUUUUCUUUCAUUCAAACCAGUUACCAUAUCUGGGUGAUGGAUGAGAUAAGCAAGUGCAAUUGCUAAGCAUCUUGAUGCAAAUUGAAUAAAAUAUACUAUACCUAUUUGUUGUUGGAUAAUUUAUAAUCCAUAAAAAAUUUCACAUUGUCAUUAGUAUGAAUCAUAUUCUGACUAAUUUCUAGUGAUUUAUUUCCAGUAGAGUAUUUGAUAUAUCACUCCAUAUUAUAUGAAUUAGUUCUUGCCCUCUUUUGCUUAUCUAUACUACUAUGGACUUAAUUGUAGUCACAAUAUGGGGACUUGAUAUCUUGGAUCAUAUUAAAACUUCUAGUGUUGAAGACGUUGAAGCUUUUGUAGUUGGAUUUAGAAUUAUUAUAUGGAUCUAUAUUGGUUUUGAAAGCCAUAGCCCAUUGCUUUCAGCCAGGAAGUCUCAGGUUUCAACCAUUGGUUGUGGAGUGCUAAACUGCCAAUGCAACAAAAAAAAAUAAAGAAAAAUAAAGAGAAAGAGAUCAGCAUUUUAGGAAUUAUAUUUAUUUUAAUUUUUCUUGCUACUUCUUGCUGCUGAGAGUUAUAGGAUUUGUAAUUAUAUGGUCAAUUGUUACUACAAUUGUUACUGUAAGUGAUGG
This 1286-nucleotide unclassified non-coding RNA is filed under the name Hevea brasiliensis (rubber tree). The record is from RNAcentral. Lineage: Eukaryota; Viridiplantae; Streptophyta; Magnoliopsida; Malpighiales; Euphorbiaceae.